GAUGAAUGCUGGCGGCGUGCCUAAUACAUGCAAGUCGAGCGAACAGACGAGGAGCUUGCUCCUCUGACGUUAGCGGCGGACGGGUGAGUAACACGUGGAUAACCUACCUAUAAGACUGGGAUAACUUCGGGAAACCGGAGCUAAUACCGGAUAAUAUAUUGAACCGCAUGGUUCAAUAGUGAAAGACGGUUUUGCUGUCACUUAUAGAUGGAUCCGCGCCGCAUUAGCUAGUUGGUAAGGUAACGGCUUACCAAGGCAACGAUGCGUAGCCGACCUGAGAGGGUGAUCGGCCACACUGGAACUGAGACACGGUCCAGACUCCUACGGGAGGCAGCAGUAGGGAAUCUUCCGCAAUGGGCGAAAGCCUGACGGAGCAACGCCGCGUGAGUGAUGAAGGUCUUCGGAUCGUAAAACUCUGUUAUUAGGGAAGAACAAAUGUGUAAGUAACUAUGCACGUCUUGACGGUACCUAAUCAGAAAGCCACGGCUGACUACGUG
Molecule: ribosomal RNA, 497 nt
Filed under: uncultured bacterium
Lineage: Bacteria
Description: partial 16S ribosomal RNA
Rfam family: Bacterial small subunit ribosomal RNA
Source: RNAcentral